AAGAAAAAGGAGGAAUUUAAGGACCUUCGCCAACUAUUUAGGUUUGCCCCCUCUAAUGGUCACCCCCGAAAGUCGUAAAGUUAGGAAAUUUCUGAAAGGCCUUCGUGCUGAUAUCUAAGAUUGAGUUGUGAUGCUGCGGCCCAGCUCGUAUGUUGAGGUGCUAGAAUAUGCCCAAUUAAUCGAUGACCUUAUCUAGGUUAGGCACCAACGCAUUGCCUGAGUUCGUACCUAAUAACAACAACACCAACUCCAAUAACCCAUAAGAAGACUGCCCGACCCAGUAAGUAGCCACCCUGAUAAACGAACUCGAUUUGCCCCUCCCCCUACUCUACCUCCACCUACUAGACAACUUGCCUGACCUUCCCAACCAUGCUAGCAUUGUGGUCGCUCGCAUGGUGAACUAACUUGUCGGCAUAUUAAUCACGUCUGCUAUUGGUGUGGAAGCACCCAGUACCUUAUAAAGGACUGCCCUCAGUGGCCGAAGGAUGUGGCCAGACCCGUAGCCCAGAGUCGUGUGUAUCACCUUGAUGAACUCGUUGCCCUCCUCACUCCUAUCCUUAUCCAAAGUAUGGUUUCUAUCUAUGAUACUGUGCCAAAGCUUUGAUCGAUACAAGUGUUACCCAUUCUUUUAUCACUUAUGCAUUUACUUGUAAAUUAGAUAUUAGGCCUGAACCUUUAAGAGAAAUACUAGCUAUAGAAACUCCCUCUAGGGGAUUACUAGAAACUCACUGUGUAUAUAAAAAUUAUAAAAUAAAAGCUUUAAAAAUAGAAAUAUUUGUAGAUCUAAUCCUUUUAGAUUUCUCAGGGUUCGAUAUUAUUCUAGGAAUGAAUUGGUUA
RNAcentral lists this long non-coding RNA (837 nucleotides) under Carica papaya (papaya). RNAcentral describes it as "long non-coding RNA (CPAP_LNC000867)". The record is from RNAcentral. Lineage: Eukaryota; Viridiplantae; Streptophyta; Magnoliopsida; Brassicales; Caricaceae.